CAAUAGCGUAUAUUUUAGUUGUUGCAGUUAAAAAGCUCGUAGUUGAAUUUCUGGUGAGCGAGAGUGGUCCGAUCAAUGAUUGGUGCUUGCUCUCGCUGGCCAUCCUUGGGUUUAGCCAGUCUGGCAUUAAGUUGUCGGGCUGGGGAUGCCCAUCGUUUACUGUGAAAAAAUUAGAGUGUUCAAAGCAGACUUAUGUCGUUGAAUAUAUUAGCAUGGAAUAAUAAGAUAGGACUACAGUGCUAUUUUGUUGGUUUGCGCACCGUGGUAAUGAUGAAUAGGGACAGUUGUGGGUAUUCGUAUUCACUUGUAAGAGGUGAAAUUCUUAGAUUAAGGGAAGACGAACUACUGCGAAAGCAUUUACCAAGGAUGUUUNCAUUAA
RNAcentral lists this ribosomal RNA (379 nucleotides) under uncultured eukaryote. RNAcentral's name for it is "partial 18S ribosomal RNA". It matches the Rfam family "Eukaryotic small subunit ribosomal RNA", at positions 592 to 976 of the family's 1831-position model. The record is from RNAcentral.